AAGAGCGGCUGCUGCCGGGACAAAUACUCUUCACUGCUCGUCGUGAGGCCACACUAGCCUGGAUCGCAGCUGCCAACGAAGGCCUUUUCUAUGCGCCAGAACGGUGGUGCCUGUUUUGAUCUCCUCCUUCCUUACCCUUCAGCCCAUUAUAUGUCGAUUCUGAAGCCAAGCACCGUUUGAUGAUCUGGCAAAGGGUUAUCAAACCAUAGUAAAAGGAUAUGAAGAUCAACAACAGCAUGAUGACCUAUUUUGUUCAAGCAAAGCUAAAUAGAAAAAGAGGAAAAUUCUAGAUUUAGAAGAGGAAAAUUCAAGACAGUAGAGGAAUCUUAAUUGGACAGAUUGUAAGUCCAUGUGCCUGGUGUUUCAUUCUGUGCCUAUACCCAUUCGUCUUCUCAAGUAUAAGGCUAUUCAUUAGUUAUAAUCUAUUUGACCGCUACUUAUGUCUACAAAUUUUAGCUAAUUUAAUUCCAACCAACUAUUGUGAAACAAAAUCCAUGUAAUGACUAUUUACCGCUACUAUGUCAUGUUUUGAGGUUUUUUAUUGGCAGAAUGAAUUCACCUCAUCCCUGGUUAGCAUUAGAAAGUUGAAGCAAACAUCAAGUUUGUGCUUGAUUGACACAGUUCACAAGUUAUGAACC
Molecule: long non-coding RNA, 638 nt
Organism: Zea mays
Lineage: Eukaryota; Viridiplantae; Streptophyta; Magnoliopsida; Poales; Poaceae
Exons: 3
Source: RefSeq, a predicted model, not a curated record